AUACGGAGGGUGCAAGCGUUACUCGGAAUUACGGGGCGUAAAGCGCGCGUAGGCAGUUGGAUAAGUCGGAUGUGAAAGCCCCGGGCUCAACCUGGGAACUGCAUUCGAAACUGUCCGGCUAGAGUAUGGUAGAGGGAAGCGGAAUUCCACAUGUAGCGGUGAAAUGCGUAGAUAUGUGGAGGAACACCAGUGGCGAAGGCGGCUUCCUGGACCAAUACUGACGCUGAGGUGCGAAAGCGUGGGGAACAAACAGGAUUAGAAACCCCAGUAGUCC
This 274-nucleotide ribosomal RNA is filed under the name uncultured bacterium. RNAcentral describes it as "partial 16S ribosomal RNA". It matches the Rfam family "Bacterial small subunit ribosomal RNA", at positions 523 to 796 of the family's 1533-position model. The record is from RNAcentral.